This 2334-nucleotide long non-coding RNA is filed under the name Rattus norvegicus (Norway rat). Its description in RNAcentral is "long non-coding RNA NONRATT031940". Lineage: Eukaryota; Metazoa; Chordata; Mammalia; Rodentia; Muridae. The record is from RNAcentral.
GAAGAAAGCACCGAGGCUAGGUCGUUCGCAUGCGCCAUUCGUAAUGUUUACUUCCGCCCGGCCUAGUGAGGCCGUGAAGUAUGUGCACGUGUGAUGUGGUGCUCCGUGUUCUUCGCAGAGGCUACACUGUUAACUGGUGAUUGGGGUGGACAUUAGAGGAGGAUGAGGGGACUGGCGAUGAGGCUGCCCCCGCGGCUGGCGCUGUCAGUGUUGGCGGGCCGCGGCCCGUCUUGCAUUCUGGGGUCCGGAGCGGCGACGCGGAAGGACUGGCAAGAGAGGAACCGGCGUAGCUUCUCUGACCUCUACACUCAACCGUUGCCUGAUUGUGAUUUCGAGGAGUCGUCCUCGUGGACACACAAGAGUCGAUCAGAGCCUACGCGUCACAUAGCAUGUAAGAAAUCGGCCAGGAACCUGGUACGAGACCUGCUGGAGCACCAAAACCCAUCCCAUCAACUUAUACUAGAGUGCAAUCCAGGUCCAGGAAUCCUGACUGGGGCAUUACUUAAAGCUGGUGCCAGAGUGGUUGCCUUUGAAAGUGAAAAGAUGUUUAUUCCACAUUUGGAGUCCUUAAGGAAGAAUGCGGAUGGAGAGUUACAAGUGGUUCACUGUGACUUCUUUAAAAUAGAUCCUAGGUAUCAGGAGCUAGUACGACCGGAUGUGAAUUCACACACAAUUUUUCAGAACCUGGGAAUAAAAGCAGUUCCUUGGUCAGCAGGUGUUCCUAUAAAAGUAUUUGGAAUUCUACCAAAUAAACAUGAAAGACGAUUGCUUUGGAAAAUCCUGUUUGAUCUGUACUCCUGCGAAUCUAUAUACAGAUAUGGACGAGUAGAACUGAAUAUGUUCAUUAGUGAAAAAGAAUUCCGGAAACUAAUAGCAACUCCUAAAAGGCCAGAUUUAUAUCAAGUAUUGGGUGUGCUUUGGCAAGUGGCUUGUGAAAUUAAGUUUCUGCACAUGGUGAGUGAAGUUUUAAUGCCAGAAGAACUAUGUUACUCAGGUUGGUAAGUGCGGACCCUGCACUAAAGGUUUAAAAUACUAAUGUCAUUGUCUUCUGACUUGUUUUGUUUUAUUUUGCAGUAGAGUGUGACUAUGCAGUCCUACCUGGCGUGGGGCUCCUUAGUCCUUCCGUAGGUCGGAAUGGCCUUGAGUUCCGAGACCCUCUGUCUCUGCCUCCUUUACCAGCUCUUGAAUGACAUUAGUAUCGACAUUUGUUUGGCAAUUUCUUUCUCUUAUAAAAGUAAUAUGACUGGCUCAUGAUAAAACUAGGAAACUUGAUUUGUUUGAGAUAUGCUUUACAGAAAGAAGGAAAUUUUCUGAGUCACUAUCAGUUCUGUACCCCAGAAAUCAUUACUAGUGACACUGGUGAUGUUUCUGCUUUCCUUUUUUUUUUUUUAAUAUAGUGAAUAUUUUAUUGCUUUGGGAGUUUUUGUUUGUUGGUUUGGGGGUUUUGUUUGUUUUCAAGACAGGGUUUCUCUGUGUAUCCUGGUUGUCCUGGAACUCCCUCUGUAGAUCAGGCUGGCCUCAAAUUCACAGUUAACCCUCCUCUGCCUCCCAUAUGCUGGGAUCAAAGGCACCACCACCACCCAGUAAUGCUUUGUUUUUUGAGAAAGGUUUCAUUGUGUAAACUCAGACUUUUCAUUCUCUUGUCUCAGCUUCCUUGAGUGCUAGGAAUAUAAAUGUAUAUCACUGUAUUUAGCUUAAUACAUUGCCUUUACCUAUUUGAAUAUCCAAAUUCAAUAGUUAGUCGUUGUAACACUUACUGAGCAUCGCCAGGUAUGAUUUGAAGUGAUUUACCCUUUUAUUUGUGUAAGGUUUUGGGUUUGAGACAAGUGCUUAAAUACAAAGCUACAAACCUUAACCCCUGGGUAUGGGGCUUUUUGGGUUUUUUUUGUUUGUUUGUUUUGUAGGGUGGGAUGGGCUGGGUAUCGUGUAGCCUUUACCUUCCAAGUACCAAGAUUAUAAUUAUAUACCACCACACCCAGAUUUGCAUAGGGAGAUUUUGUUUUUAAGGCAAUAGUAACUUGAGACAUUUUGACAAAAAAGAAUUAACUGAAAGAAUUGAGGAGACUUGGUCUUCAGUUGUGUUCUAUGAACUAAACAAUGUCUUGGGCUUGAGGAGAUAGCUCAAUUGCAAAAGUACUUGUAGUACUUUUGUACAUGUAGUACAAAACAUGAGGACCUGAGUUCAAUUCUUAGCAACCAUGUAAACAGUCCAGUGUAGUGGGCCAUGCCUCUUAUCCCAGGGCUGGGAGGCAGAGGCCAGAGGAUCUUUGGUCCUACAGAACCCACAAGCCCAGGUUCAUGAGAGACCCUGACUUGAAAAAUGAUGUGGAGAGG